This 442-nucleotide ribosomal RNA is filed under the name uncultured bacterium. RNAcentral's name for it is "partial 16S ribosomal RNA". It matches the Rfam family "Bacterial small subunit ribosomal RNA", at positions 338 to 795 of the family's 1533-position model. The record is from RNAcentral.
CCUACGGGAGGCAGCAGUGGGGAAUAUUGGGCAAUGGGCGCAAGCCUGACCCAGCAACGCCGCGUGAAGGAGGAAGGCUUUCGGGUUGUAAACUUCUUUUAAGGGGGAAGAGCAGAAGACGGUACCCCUUGAAUAAGCCACGGCUAACUACGUGCCAGCAGCCGCGGUAAUACGUAGGUGGCAAGCGUUGUCCGGAUUUACUGGGUGUAAAGGGCGUGCAGCCGGAGAGACAAGUCAGAUGUGAAAUCCACGGGCUCAACCCGUGAACUGCAUUUGAAACUGUUUCCCUUGAGUGUCGGAGAGGUAAUCGGAAUUCCUUGUGUAGCGGUGAAAUGCGUAGAUAUAAGGAAGAACACCAGUGGCGAAGGCGGAUUACUGGACGAUAACUGACGGUGAGGCGCGAAAGCGUGGGGAGCAAACAGGAUUAGAUACCCCUGUAGUC